This 407-nucleotide long non-coding RNA is filed under the name Apteryx rowi (Okarito brown kiwi). Its description in RNAcentral is "lncRNA (ENSARWG00000013917.1)". Lineage: Eukaryota; Metazoa; Chordata; Aves; Apterygiformes; Apterygidae. The record is from RNAcentral.
GCAUCAGAGCCCUUCUAAAGGCUGGUAUCCGUCUGCUUCAUGGAAGAAGAAGCCAUGAUAUCUAAAUGGAAAUUUAAGGUGACUUCCACUGUCUCAGGAAAUCUUCUUAAUCACAGUCUUAUUGUGCUAGCCAAAAUCCAUCAGUGUGCUUCAUGGAUUCAGGGCUGGAGAGGUAGGAAGAAAAAUUUAGCAGCUCAGAAUAAUAGAUCAGUAUUGUGCAGACUUCCUAUUUCCCUGACCAACGAGCCAGAGAUUUUGUGAACCAGCUUUUGGGAAAGACAUUGAGUAAUCCAUUCAGUAACUGACCUGUUGUCUGAAAUUGUGAGUGUGAGGUUUUUUCCAUAGCUUCUUAUUUUAAGAUGGCCAAGAAAAAUAAAAAAUUUAUUUAACUUUUUGAGGUUAUCCUC